AUAACAAUAGUAUGGAUUUUAAACAAAGACAUAUAGAACAAGGGGAUAGCAGAGAGAACAUAUUUAAUCAGACAAAUCCUUCCUGCCAUCGAGAUAAAUCUGCCUUUCCAUCUUCCCAGUCUUUCCUUUAUCUUCUCAACCACCCCAUCCCAAAACGCUUCCUUCUUGUGACAUCCCCCAACAGGCAACCCAAGAUACUUGAAAGGAUAAUUCAUCACUUCGCAGUUAAGCAUUUUUGCGAAACAACUGAUCGUGAAAGUAUCAACCCCCACACCUCCAAUACUACUCUUCAGAAAGUUCACCUUUAGACCUGAA
RNAcentral lists this long non-coding RNA (315 nucleotides) under Phaseolus vulgaris (common bean). Its description in RNAcentral is "long non-coding RNA (PVUL_LNC004236)". The record is from RNAcentral. Lineage: Eukaryota; Viridiplantae; Streptophyta; Magnoliopsida; Fabales; Fabaceae.